Molecule: ribosomal RNA, 245 nt
Filed under: uncultured bacterium
Lineage: Bacteria
Description: partial 16S ribosomal RNA
Rfam family: Bacterial small subunit ribosomal RNA
Source: RNAcentral
UACGUAGGAGGCCAGCGUUAUCCGGAGUUACUGGGCGUAAAGCGCCCGCAGGCGGUCCACCCAGUUCCCAGCGACAGUCACCGGCUUAACCGGGGAAGGACGAGGAAGACUGGUGGACUUGAGAGCGAGAGAGGGACAGGGAACUCCAGGUGGAGCGGUGAAAUGCGUAGAGAUCUGGAAGAACACCGAAGGCGAAGGCCCUGUCCUGGCUCGUCUCUGACGCUCAGGGGCGAAAGCUAGGGGAG